This 83-nucleotide small nuclear RNA is filed under the name Neogale vison (American mink). RNAcentral describes it as "Neovison vison (American mink) U4 spliceosomal RNA (ENSNVIG00000002998.1)". It matches the Rfam family "U4 spliceosomal RNA", at positions 1 to 83 of the family's 138-position model. Rfam says of the family: U4 small nuclear RNA (U4 snRNA) is a component of the major U2-dependent spliceosome. The structure of U4 snRNA from yeast and human has been reported. U4 snRNA presents a k-turn RNA motif in the 5p-SL related to recognition of Snu13 protein. The record is from Rfam by way of RNAcentral. Lineage: Eukaryota; Metazoa; Chordata; Mammalia; Carnivora; Mustelidae.
AGCUUUGUGCAGUGGCAGUAUCAUAGCCAAUGAGGUUUAUCCGAGGCGCGAUUAUUGCUAAUUGAAAACUUUUACCAAGUGAC